CCUUUGGACUUGUACGUAACAUAUAGACAACAAGACAGUAAAUUUGUUCUAAUAUUUGAUCUAAGAGCAGAAACAUCAGCAUUUUUACAGUUAAACAAUAUUUGAAACUCAUCCCCUAUUCCUUCAUAACAUAAUGUACAUAUUCUAUUUUCCCUCGCGAUCCCCGCCCAUCUACCCGUCUCAAUAGGUAACUUCAAAUUCGAGCAUCGAAGUUUAGAUAUCUACAUGUAAUAUCUGUCCUUAGGCAAUAAUCGCAAUACAUACGGUUCCAAACCAAACUCGAGUUUGAAUAAAGAAUAUAACAAGUAAACUGCGAGCUACUGCUCACUGAUGAUACCCCCGCCGCAAGUGGAUAAUAUUAAUAAUGUAAAAAUAUGCAAGUGUCUAGCUGACUUAGAUAAACCCUGAAACCAAAUUUCAGAAAUCCUUGUAUUAUAGUUCCUGAGAAAAAUGUGAUGAAAAUUUUCAACAUGGCUAUCAUGUGUAAAAUCGUACAAGUGUUCGGUAAACAGGAAGUUGUCAAGUGAUCAAUCUGAAAACGCAUCACACGGUAUAGCUGACUUAGAUAAACCCUGAAACCAAAUUUCAGAAAUCCUUGUAUUGUAGUUCCUGAGAAAAAUGUGACGAAAAUUUUCAACUUGGCUAUCAUGUGUAAAAUCAUACAAGUGUUCGGUAAACAGGAAGUUGCCAAGUGAUCAAUCUGAAAACGCAUCACACGGUAUAGCUGACUUAGAUAAACCCUGAAACCAAAUUUCAGAAAUCCUUGUAUUGUAGUUCCUGAGAAAAAUGUGACGAAAAUUUUCAACUUGGCUAUCAUGUGUAAAAUAGUACAAGUGUUCGGUAAACAGGAAGUUGUCAAG
RNAcentral lists this long non-coding RNA (860 nucleotides) under Mytilus galloprovincialis (Mediterranean mussel). Lineage: Eukaryota; Metazoa; Mollusca; Bivalvia; Mytilida; Mytilidae. The record is from RNAcentral.